CCGUAGCGUAAAUUCUGUACUAAUUAUUAAUUGUCAGUUAAUUCAAAAAAAAAAUUUAUUCGCUAGGGGAAGUUUGUGCUGGUUUCGGUUUGUUUGUAAUAAUACCGUAUGUUUAGCUUUCCUAAUACUCGUAUUUCAGAGAAAUGUUUUGAACAAAAUAUUCCGAGAAGUUAAUUGUUUACCUCUACAGUUCGUUUCAAAUUAAUUCUUGGAAUUUAUCUUAAAAAUACAACAUAAGGCAGCAGUCUACAUUGAGCGACAGUGCGGGUAUACAACGUUCAUUCAUUUCAGUCUUGUAAGUCUGAUUAUUUCCUCAUACGUAAUUUUAUUUAAAAAUAAAGUGAAUAAUUUUUAACCCCAGUUAAAAUGAGUACAAAACGAAAGAGCUAUUCCGUCGAGUACAAAAAGGGAAUCGUGGAAGACCCCAGGGGUGUAAAUCUUGUAGCAUUCGGUAAAGAGAAAAUGCUGGAUCUCUGUAUGGUUCGUAAAUGGCAUGCAGACUACGAUUACCUGUGUCAACUGGUGGACCAAGGAAAUGAGAAAAACGGAAAUGGAUCAGGUCGGCAGCCGUUAUUUUCUGAGUUGGAAGAUUGCAUCUGGGAAUGGAUUGCAGGCAGGAGAGCAAUGGCUUUGGUUGUGCGCAGGGCUGAUAUU
This 654-nucleotide long non-coding RNA is filed under the name Androctonus crassicauda. The record is from RNAcentral. Lineage: Eukaryota; Metazoa; Arthropoda; Arachnida; Scorpiones; Buthidae.